RNAcentral lists this long non-coding RNA (148 nucleotides) under Polistes fuscatus (common paper wasp). RNAcentral describes it as "uncharacterized LOC122521250". The record is from RNAcentral. Lineage: Eukaryota; Metazoa; Arthropoda; Insecta; Hymenoptera; Vespidae.
GAAGAGGAGGAGGAGGAUGACGACGACGACGACUUAUGAACGUAGCCAAAGUAAAUAACCGUUAAUUACUCGAUCUUCUAGUGAAGUUUCCAAAGUGGUGGAUUUCCUCGUUGCAUAAAGCAUGCAGCAUUUCGCGAAGCCCCGGAAA